GUGAAAUAAUCAUAAUCCUACUAUAUUAUUUGGGAAGUACAUUUUAAAUGUAAUCUUAUUUUUUGUAAGUAAUUACAUAGGUAUGCCAUUAGAAAUAAAAUUUAAAGAGUAAAUUAAUUCAUCUCUUUAAA
This 131-nucleotide small RNA is filed under the name Arabidopsis thaliana (thale cress). RNAcentral describes it as "ATSL304980". Lineage: Eukaryota; Viridiplantae; Streptophyta; Magnoliopsida; Brassicales; Brassicaceae. The record is from RNAcentral.